AUUCAAGUGAGAACCUUGAAGGCCGAGGUGAAAAAGGGUUCCAUGGGAACAGCAGUUGACCAUGGGUCAGGCGGUCCUAAGUGAUCCGGUAAAUCGGAACAGAGACGGGGUGCCUGACAUUGUCCGUUCGCGGGCUUUGUUCAGUAAUCUGCAAAGUACUGUUGCAUUGCAGCCCCCUGUAGCGAAAGGGAAUCGGGUUAAUAUUCCCGACCCUGUCCACGGAGAUUGGUGUGUGUCGGGCCUUUGGUUCGGCGUGCGCCCAGCGCGGUAACGCAACCGACCUCGGAGACGUCGGCGGGAGUUCUGGGAAGAGUUCUCUUUUCUUUGUUAGGAGUGCAUCCACCCCCUGGAAUCGGCUUGUCCGGAGAUAGGGGGCUAGCCUCCGUAAAGCACCACCCUUCUUGUGGUGUCCGGAACGCUCCUGUCGGCCCUUGAAAAUCCGAGCGAGGCAGUAUAAUUUUCGUGGCAGGCCGUACCCAUAUCCGCAGCAGGUCCCCAUGAUGAACAGCUUCUGGCA
Molecule: non-coding RNA, 517 nt
Filed under: Schistosoma margrebowiei
Lineage: Eukaryota; Metazoa; Platyhelminthes; Trematoda; Strigeidida; Schistosomatidae
Description: Eukaryotic large subunit ribosomal RNA
Rfam family: Eukaryotic large subunit ribosomal RNA
Source: Rfam by way of RNAcentral